UCGCGAUCUCCUGACCUUGUGAUCCGCCCGCCUCGGCCUCCCAAAGUGCUGGGAUUACAGGCAUGAGCCAUCGAGCCGGCCUCAGAGUUUUCUAAGAAGUGUCCAGAGAGGUAGAAGACCAUGCCUGCUAAAGAUAAAGGAAAAUUUGAAGAUACGGGGGCAAAGGCGGACAAGGCCCGUUAUGAAAGAGAAAUGAAAACCUAUAUCCCUCCUAAAGGGGAGACAAAAAAAGAAGUUCAAGGACUCCAAUGCACCCAAGAGCUCUCCUUCGGCCUUUUUCUUGUUCUGCUUUGAGUAUCGCCAGAAAAUCAAAGGAGAACAUCCUGGCCUGCCCAUUGGUGAUGUUGGAAGAAACUGGGAGAGAUGUGGAAUAACACUGCUGCAGAUGACAAGCAGCCUUAUGAAAAGAAGGCUGCGAAGCUGAAGGAAAAAUACGAAAAGGAUAUUGCUGCAUAUCGAGCUAAAGGAAAGCCUGAUGCAGCAAAAAAGGAGUUGUCAAGGCUGAA
Molecule: long non-coding RNA, 506 nt
Organism: Cercocebus atys (sooty mangabey)
Lineage: Eukaryota; Metazoa; Chordata; Mammalia; Primates; Cercopithecidae
Exons: 2
Source: RefSeq, a predicted model, not a curated record